GAAUCUCAUUACGAUAUCCAAAGACUGGAGCUUACUUCUUUUGCUCAACCAUGGGGAAGCAAAUAGAGCCAUGGGAGCCUAACCACAAUCACCUCUCGUUCCAAACAGAACCUUCCACCUCUAAUAUCAAUUUGUCAGGGAGCUACUUAUGUUUAGAAGAUUACUAGUCUCAACAGAGCAUGACAAGAAAAAAACCAUAGUCAAUGAUUGGUUCUCAUUAUCAAACCCCCGUGCCAUAAUAUAAUUAUAAUCAUCAAAAGCAUCACACAGAUUCACACACUGGUCAGUACUCAUGCAGUGAGAGGAAGACUGGACAAUGGACUCAGUUUUCUGUUUCACUUUCUCUGCCCUUUUCUUUUUUUUUCUUAACCCUUCAAUCUUGUCAUUCAUAUACUUCAAUUCAGAUCCCCAAAAAACUCAGAUCUGCCUCAACGACACAUUUGAAGUUUCCACAUUAAUCUUCUUCUCCGGAUCAACAAUCUUUCUGUUGUAUCAAAAAUUCCGUCCGGCCCGGAAGAGAUGACGCAAACAGGGACACCACACAAUAUUGAAAGUUCAGAGGCUUUCUUCUUCUUCAAAGUAGGCAUUCUCUUGUUCUUCAAAGGGCGGUUGUGUUGGUUGGGACUCGUCAACUGAGAUACUUGUUGAAUUUUAUUUUAUUCCAUUCAUUUUUCUGUUAAUAACAAGCAAGUUGAAAGAUAUUCAUAAGAAAAAUACUAAGAAAUCAACUA
Molecule: long non-coding RNA, 731 nt
Organism: Populus euphratica (Euphrates poplar)
Lineage: Eukaryota; Viridiplantae; Streptophyta; Magnoliopsida; Malpighiales; Salicaceae
Exons: 2
Source: RefSeq, a predicted model, not a curated record